GUGCGUGGCAGGCAGGGCCUGUCACUGUCUACUGUUGUCGCUGUGGCUGUAGCAGUGGAGGUGGCCGGGCCUUCUUUCCCACCUCCCCUUCUUCCCCAUGGUCAGCCCCGCUCCCAGGCUCCGUCUGUGCCCCUGCAGCUCCCCAGCGGUGGCCUUUUUGUUCAGUGCUUCCUCGGCGGCUGGGACUCACCCUGAUUUAAAAGCUCCAGACGUGUUCUCGGCAGCCCGGGAGCACAGGAGUCAAAGCAAGACCAGGAGCGGGUUGCUGAGAGGACGCCACGCUGACUGGGGAUCGAGAGGGUGGCUUCCUUCAAACAGAGAAAGGAAAAAGCCCCUUGAACCAAUCUGAAUGUAAAAUCCAAAAGCUAUGGCCACCGCGAGGAAAACAACAGUCAUGAUGCGGGCCAGGAGGCCGUCGCCGUGGGAAUGCAGUCGGCCCUGCGCAUGUGGUGUCUGAGCAGGGCCCGAGACCUUCCAGGGAGGGGAGAAAUACUUUUUGGCUGACUCUCCUGACUCUGUGUUUCCUACAAUUCUACAACAAAGAUCCAGGAACAUGAGAAAAGGAAAAUGAGAAAAUGAGUCCUGUGAUCCAAAUUUAAGCCAAGAACAGGACAGGCAAUGUGAGCCAAAUAGAAAUGAGGCCAAGAGUGCUUUCUUGGGGCCCCAGCUUUUUUUUU
This is a long non-coding RNA of Homo sapiens (human), 677 nucleotides long. The record is from Ensembl. NCBI's taxonomy places the organism in Eukaryota, Metazoa, Chordata, Mammalia, Primates, Hominidae.